AACGAACGCUGGCGGCAUGCCUAACACAUGCAAGUCGAACGAAGCCUUCGGGCUUAGUGGCGCACGGGUGCGUAACGCGUGGGAAUCUGCCCUUGGGUUCGGAAUAACAGUUAGAAAUGACUGCUAAUACCGAAUGAUGUCUUCGGACCAAAGAUUUAUCGCCCAAGGAUGAGCCCGCGUCGGAUUAGCUAGUUGGUGAGGUAAAGGCUCACCAAGGCGACGAUCCGUAGCUGGUCUGAGAGGAUGAUCAGCCACACUGGGACUGAGACACGGCCCAGACUCCUACGGGAGGCAGCAGUGGGGAAUAUUGCGCAAUGGGCGAAAGCCUGACGCAGCGACGCCGCGUGGGUGAUGAGGGCC
RNAcentral lists this ribosomal RNA (360 nucleotides) under uncultured bacterium. Its description in RNAcentral is "bacterial SSU rRNA". It matches the Rfam family "Bacterial small subunit ribosomal RNA", at positions 29 to 416 of the family's 1533-position model. The record is from RNAcentral.